UGCCUGUACCAUAACCGACACAGGUGGGUAGGUAGAGUAUACUAAGGGGCGCGAGAUAACUCUCUCUAAGGAACUCGGCAAAAUGACUCCGUAACUUCGGGAGAAGGAGUGCCUUAUUUAUAAGGUUGCAAUAACAAGAUCCAAGCAACUGUUUAUCAAAAACACAGGUCUCCGCUAAGUCGUAAGACGAUGUAUGGGGGCUGACGCCUGCCCAGUGCCAGAAGGUUAAAGAAGUUGGUUAGUGUAUGCGAAGCUGAUGACUGAAGCCCUGGUGAACGGCGGCCGUAACAAUAACGGUCCUAAGGUAGCGAAAUUCCUUGUCGGGUAAGUUCCGACCCGCACGAAAGGCGUAAUGAUUUGGAUACUGUCUCGGAGAGAGGCUCGGUGAAAUAGACUUGUCUGUGAAGAUGCGGACUACCUGCACCAGGACAGAAAGACCCUAUGAAGCUUUACUGUAACUUGAAAUUGGAAUUGGACUUUGCUUGCGCAGUAUAGGUGGGAAGCGUUGAAGAUAUUCUUGCGGGAGUAUUGGAGCUAUCAGUGAGAUACCACUCUUGUAAUGUUAGAUUUCUAACUUUGAACCAUAAUCUGGUCAAAGAACAGUUUCAGGUGGGCAGUUUGACUGGGGCGGUCGCCUCCCAAAUGGUAACGGAGGCGUACAAAGGUUUCCUCUGAACGGAUAGAAAUCGUAUCUAGAGUGUAAAGGCAUAAGGAAGCUUGACUGUGAGACCUACAAGUCGAGCAGGGACGAAAGUCGGUCUUAGUGAUCUGACGGUACUGAGUGGAAAGGCCGUCACUCAACGGAUAAAAGUUACUCUAAGGAUAACAGGCUGAUCUCCCCCAAGAGUUCACAUCGACGGGGAGGUUUGGCACCUCGAUGUCGGCUCAUCGCAUCCUGGGGCGGUAGUACGUCCCAAGGGUUGGGCUGUUCGCCCAUGAAAGCGGUACGCGAGCUGGGUUCAGAACGUCGUGAGACAGUUCGGUCCAUAUCCGGUGUAGGCGUUAGAAUAUUGAGAGGAGCCUUCUUUAGUACGAGAGGACCGAGAAGGACACACCGCUGGUGUACCAGUUAUCGUGCCAACGGUAAACGCUGGGUAGCUAUGUGUGGAGUGGAUAACCGCUGAAAGCAUCUAAGUGGGAAGCCCACCUCAAGAUGAUUGCUCUCACAGGGUUAACCUGGUAAGGUCACGGGAAGACCACCCGUUGAUAGGCACUCGGUGGAAGU
RNAcentral lists this ribosomal RNA (1225 nucleotides) under metagenome. RNAcentral describes it as "bacterial LSU rRNA". It matches the Rfam family "Bacterial large subunit ribosomal RNA", at positions 1639 to 2874 of the family's 2925-position model. The record is from RNAcentral.